ACUUUUUAAUGUGUUGAUGCUUGAAUAGAGCUAUUCUCAAGCUGGAGUAACUGAAACUGAAUGGACAAGUGGAUCUUCAAAAGGCGGACCUCUGCAGGCAUUAACUAGGGAAUCUACAAGAGGGUCAAGAAGAACUCCAAGGAAAAGGGUGGAAACUUCAGAACAUUUUCGUAUAGAUGGUCCAGUAAUUUCAGAGAGUACUCCCAUAGCUGAAACUAUAAUGGCUUCAAGCAACGAAUCCUUAGUUGUCAAUAGGGUGACUGGAAAUUUCAAGCAUGCAUCUCCUAUUCUGCCAAUCACUGAAUUCUCAGACAUACCCAGAAGAGCACCAAAGAAACCAUUGACAAGAGCUGAAGU
Molecule: long non-coding RNA, 357 nt
Organism: Mandrillus leucophaeus (drill)
Lineage: Eukaryota; Metazoa; Chordata; Mammalia; Primates; Cercopithecidae
Exons: 3
Source: RefSeq, a predicted model, not a curated record